GAUGAACGCUGGCGGCGUGCCUAAUACAUGCAAGUCGAGCGAACAGACGAGGAGCUUGCUCCUCUGAUGUUAGCGGCGGACGGGUGAGUAACACGUGGAUAACCUACCUAUAAGACUGGGAUAACUUCGGGAAACCGGAGCUAAUACCGGAUAACAUGUUGAACCGCAUGGUUCAACAGUGAAAGACGGUCUUGCUGUCACUUAUAGAUGGAUCCGCGCCGCAUUAGCUAGUUGGUAAGGUAACGGCUUACCAAGGCAACGAUGCCUAGCCGACCUGAGAGGGUGAUCGGCCACACUGGAACUGAGACACGGUCCAGACUCCUACGGGAGGCAGCAGUAGGGAAUCUUCCGCAAUGGGCGAAAGCCUGACGGAGCAACGCCGCGUGAGUGAAGAAGGUCUUCGGAUCGUAAAACUCUGUUAUUAGGGAAGAACAAAUGUGUAAGUAACUAUGCACGUCUUGACGGUACCUAAUCAGAAAGCCACGGCUAACUACGUG
Molecule: ribosomal RNA, 497 nt
Filed under: uncultured bacterium
Lineage: Bacteria
Description: partial 16S ribosomal RNA
Rfam family: Bacterial small subunit ribosomal RNA
Source: RNAcentral